Long non-coding RNA from Lemur catta (Ring-tailed lemur), 490 nucleotides. RefSeq lists it as uncharacterized. The transcript is spliced from 3 exons. The record is from RefSeq and is a predicted model, not a curated record. NCBI's taxonomy places the organism in Eukaryota, Metazoa, Chordata, Mammalia, Primates, Lemuridae.
GAGAACUUAAGCCAAGAAAAAAAAUCAACCCAAAAUAAAGAACCAGAAUUCCUUUUCGGACUGGCCAAAACAGAUCAGUCACCACUGAUAAGCCUUUAAGAACACGAGGCCUCACAAUGCUGCUGGGUGAAACCGCUCAGGUUGAAUAGCUAUGUGGAAAAUUCCUUCCAGUGAUCCUUACAAUGCAAUCCUAAAUGUUUAAAACAGUCUACUAAAAGACCUAAGCAGAGUGGUCUUAAAGAGAUGAUCUUUUCCAUAUAUUCACCAGUAGCAACUCUCACCUGUUAAGAAAAGGAUCUGAGCUAUUGGUCGUCAUUGUUCUCAAUUCCUGAGACAUCCCGGGAGAAGAUACUGGAUUUUGAGUCCCGCCAUCCUGCUCCAGCGUUGGCAACUGGCUACGGAGAGCUAAUUCCUAAAACAAACAAAACAGAAUCAAUCUGAUUAACAAAUUUAUUGUUAAGUUUCAAGAAAUAAAAUGCAGAUUAAAGCA